GACGAACGCUGGCGGCGUGCUUAACACAUGCAAGUCGAACGCUGAAGCACCAGCUUGCUGGUGUGGAUGAGUGGCGAACGGGUGAGUAAUACGUGAGUAACCUGCCCUUGACUCUGGGAUAAGCCCGGGAAACUGGGUCUAAUACUGGAUGCUACAUGUCACCGCAUGGUGGUGUGUGGAAAGGGUUUACUGGUCUUGGAUGGGCUCACGGCCUAUCAGCUUGUUGGGGAGGUAAUGGCUCACCAAGGCGACGACGGGUAGCCGGCCUGAGAGGGUGACCGGCCACACUGGGACUGAGACACGGCCCAGACUCCUACGGGAGGCAGCAGUGGGGAAUAUUGCACAAUGGGCGAAAGCCUGAUGCAGCGACGCCGCGUGAGGGAUGACGGCCUUCGGGUUGUAAACCUCUUUCAGCAGGGAAGAAGCCACAAGUGACGGUACCUGCAGAAGAAGCGCCGGCUAACUACGUGCCAGCAGCCGCCGUAA
RNAcentral lists this ribosomal RNA (486 nucleotides) under uncultured bacterium. RNAcentral's name for it is "partial 16S ribosomal RNA". It matches the Rfam family "Bacterial small subunit ribosomal RNA", at positions 28 to 523 of the family's 1533-position model. The record is from RNAcentral.